Oncorhynchus tshawytscha (Chinook salmon) is the source of this 603-nucleotide long non-coding RNA. The record is from Ensembl. NCBI's taxonomy places the organism in Eukaryota, Metazoa, Chordata, Actinopteri, Salmoniformes, Salmonidae.
GAGGGGUCUGUAGGGGUCUAGUGUUAUAUAGAGGGGUCUGUAGGGGUCUAGUGUUAUAUAGAGGAGUCUGUCUGUAUUGGUAUAUAGAGAGAUCUGUAGUGUUAUAUAGAGAGGUCUGUCUAGUGUUAUAUAGAGGUCUGUAGUGUUAUAUAGAGAGGUCUGUCUGUAGUGUUAUAUAGAGAGGUCUGUCUGUAGUGUUAUAUAGAGAGGUCUGUCUGUAGUGUUAUAUAGAGAGGUCUGUAGUGUUAUAUAGAGAGAUCUGUAGUGUUUAUUUGGAGGGGUCUGUAUAUAGAGUUAUGCCUCUAGAGUUAUCUAGAUAGGUAGUGUUACCUAGAGAGGUCAUGAUGGAGAGAGACACCAGAUAAGCAACAGAAUAAUAGGAUAUGAUGGAGAGAGACCAGAAGAACAGAACAUGUCAUAACAGAAGACAGUAACAGACAAGACUAGAGACGGCGGCAGACAAGAGGGUAGAUGGAGAGAGAACAGAGGUGGGUUGAGCACACAGUAGACUGUAUCACUUCAAGCUGCUCUACAAAUUAAACUUUUGUUAAAUUUAUUUGCACAAAUUAUAGCAGAUGAAAUACAGACAGUGAAGAAGUAAAA